GACGAACGCUGGCGGCGUGCUUAACACAUGCAAGUCGAACGGAAAGGCCCCUCUUGGGGUGCUUGAGUGGCUAACGGGCGAGUAACACGUAAGUAACUUGCCCUUCACUUCGUGAUAACUUCAGGAAACUGGGGCUAAUACCGGAUAGGAAUGCUCUCUUCAUGGUGGGGGUGGGAAAGCUUCGGCGGUUGUGGAUGGACUCGCGGCUUAUCAGCUUGUUGGUGGGGUAGUGGCUUACCAAGGCUUUGACGGGUAGCCGGCCUGAGAGGGCGACCGGCCACAUUGGGACUGAGAUACGGCCCAGACUCCUACGGGAGGCAGCAGUGGGGAAUAUUGCACAAUGGGCGGAAGCCUGAUGCAGCAACGCCGCGUGCGGGAUGACGGCCUUCGGGUUGUAAACCGCUUUCAGCAGGGGCGAAGCUUGUGGUGACGGUACCUGCAGAAGAAGCACCGGCUAACUACGU
Molecule: ribosomal RNA, 464 nt
Filed under: uncultured bacterium
Lineage: Bacteria
Description: partial 16S ribosomal RNA
Rfam family: Bacterial small subunit ribosomal RNA
Source: RNAcentral